GGGUCAGUAGGUUGGUCGUGCCACCGGUACGUACUGGUCUCACUGAUUCCUCCUUCCUGAAGAACCGUAAUGCCAUUAAUUUGGUGUUGCGGGGAAACAGACUGUUACUUUGAAAAAAUUAGAGUGUUUAAAGCAAGCUAACGCUUGAAUACAUUAGCAUGGAAUAAUGAAAUAGGACGAUCGAUCCUAUUUUGUUGGUUUCUAGGAUUGACGUA
This 215-nucleotide ribosomal RNA is filed under the name Glomeromycotina sp. Its description in RNAcentral is "partial small subunit ribosomal RNA". The stretch from base 75 to 215 matches the Rfam family "Eukaryotic small subunit ribosomal RNA", at positions 722 to 864 of the family's 1831-position model. Lineage: Eukaryota; Fungi; Glomeromycota. The record is from RNAcentral.